UAACACGUAGGGGCCAAGCGUUGUCCGGAUUUAUUGGGCGUAAAGAGCUCGUAGGCUGUUCGGUAAGUCGGGUGUGAAAACUCUGGGCUCAACCCAGAGACGCCAUCCGAUACUGCUGUGACUAGAGUCCGGUAGGGGAGUGUGGAAUUUCCGGUGUAGCGGUGAAAUGCGCAGAUAUCGGAAGGAACACCAGUGGCGAAGGCGGCACUCUGGGCCGGAACUGACGCUGAGGAGCGAAAGCGUGGGUAGCAAACAGGAUUAGAUACCCUGGUAGUCCACGCCGUAAACGUUGGGCACUAGGUGUGGGGUCGUACCAAUCGAUUCCGUGCCGUAGCUAACGCAUUAAGUGCCCCGCCUGGGGAGUACGGCCGCAAGGCUA
Molecule: ribosomal RNA, 379 nt
Filed under: uncultured bacterium
Lineage: Bacteria
Description: bacterial SSU rRNA
Rfam family: Bacterial small subunit ribosomal RNA
Source: RNAcentral